CUGAAAGUGUGUAUUUGCACGUGUGCGUGCACAUGGGUGUGUGUCUGUGUGAAAGAGAGCAAUGUGUACUAAAAUUAACUUCUAAACCUUGUUCCAGCAGCCUUGAGAGCUGAUAUGUGGUGGGUGCCAUACAAACAGAUCUCAGUGAUACAGAUAUAAUCCUGUCUAGGAGUACCAGCUCUAGAAGCCAAGCCAUGCCUAAAAUCAAACUGAGCCAUAGCAGCAGCAGAGCAAACAUCAAGUUUCUCACAUCAUCCGAACAUCCUUUGGCAGCAACAGUUGGCCCAAGCCUUGGAGCAGCAGCUGGUAAGUCCAGAGGCAGAACUGUGAUGCCUGUGGCAUCAGAUGUACUGGAAACCCUUCUAA
Molecule: long non-coding RNA, 366 nt
Filed under: Zonotrichia albicollis (white-throated sparrow)
Lineage: Eukaryota; Metazoa; Chordata; Aves; Passeriformes; Passerellidae
Description: lncRNA (ENSZALG00000000868.1)
Source: RNAcentral